RNAcentral lists this ribosomal RNA (474 nucleotides) under uncultured bacterium. RNAcentral describes it as "bacterial SSU rRNA". It matches the Rfam family "Bacterial small subunit ribosomal RNA", at positions 627 to 1102 of the family's 1533-position model. The record is from RNAcentral.
UGGAAACUGGAUGGCUUGAGUGUAGGAGAGGUUAGUGGAAUUCCCGGUGUAACGGUGAAAUGGCGUAAAGAUCGGGAGGACACCAGUGGCGAAGGCGACUAACUGGACUAUGACUGACGCUGAGGCGCGAAAGUGUGGGGAGCAAACAGGAUUAGAUACCCUGGUAGUCCACACUGUAAACGAUGAAUGCUAGGUGUAGGGGGUAUCGACCCCUUCUGUGCCGGAGUAAACACAAUAAGUAUCCCACCUGGGGAGUACGGCCGCAAGGUUGAAACUCAAAGGAAUUGACGGGGGCCCGCACAAGCAGUGGAGUAUGUGGUUUAAUUCGAAGCAACGCGAAGAACCUUACCAGGACUUGACAUCCUCUGACCGCCAUAGAGAUAUGGUUUCCCUUCGGGGCAGAGAGACAGGUGGUGCAUGGUUGUCGUCAGCUCGUGUCGUGAGAUGUUGGGUUAGUCCCGCAACGAGCGCAAC